UACCGGCGGCUCGAGUGGUGGCCGCUAUUACUGGGCUUAAAGGGUCCGUAGCUUGAUGAUUGGGUCCCUUGAGAAAUCCACCGGCUUAACUGGUGGGCGUUCAGGGGAAACUGGUCUUCUAGGGACCGGGAGAGGUGAGAGGUACUGCCGGGGUAGGAGUGAAAUCCUGUAAUCCCGGUGGGACCACCUAUGGCGAAGGCAUCUCACCAGAACGGCUCCGACAGUGAGGGACGAAAGCUGGGGGAGCAAACCGGAUUAGAAACCCGUGUAGUCC
Molecule: ribosomal RNA, 274 nt
Filed under: uncultured prokaryote
Description: partial 16S ribosomal RNA
Rfam family: Archaeal small subunit ribosomal RNA
Source: RNAcentral